This 1821-nucleotide long non-coding RNA is filed under the name Amphibalanus amphitrite. RNAcentral describes it as "uncharacterized LOC122371210". Lineage: Eukaryota; Metazoa; Arthropoda; Thecostraca; Balanomorpha; Balanidae. The record is from RNAcentral.
CUACCGGAAUAUAUCAACAGAUUGGCCAGACUCAUUGGCUAAAUAUGUUUAAAUUGCAUUUUUCUUACUUUCUGCAGAUUUUCCUGCAAAAUUUUACUGUAGUUUAAGCUGCGUUUCCUGCAGAUUGUGUUCACAGACCAAUGGGAGACAAGUAUUUCUUCAUCAACAGGUUUAUUCGCCAUCAAUUGGUCUAGCGGGUGUUUUUCGCAUGCGCAGCUUAUGUCACAGCAGCGUAAGAACACGUUCGCUUUAAAUCAUUAUGGAUAUUUCUUUUCGGAAUAUCAAAGGUCAAUGUUGAUGUGUUUCAUAAGAUUUGUGGUGGCGGGAUUAUCGUCAUUAACUAAUUACUUGAUAUAUUUUAAUGGGGAGUGGUGUAAUGCCCGCACGACUGUUGACUUUCAUUGUAAUUGCUUGAGCUUGUUCCUGGGCUGCCUCAGAUAGCAGGAUGGUGUGUCAAGUAUCAUGGCCUGACAGGAAGGCUUUCCGGUUAUGACUGAGGCCAGCAUCUCACGUGUCCUGGCUACGCCAAAUCACUGCGGAUGCCGGAUGCCGAGGACCGGAGAGCCAACCGCUUUGAGGCGUGAGCUCUGUGGCGUGGCUCGAGUGAUCACCAGGUUCUGACGGCUACGGCGCCGUCGACCUGGUUGAAUAGCUGGGGCCUGGACGAGAGUGCCCUUAGUACGGUGGUCAAUCGGUUACGUCCGAGGGGCGCUCGAACACGCUGCCGUCGCGUGGCUGCCGGCGGCCGCCCCCUCGCACGUGAAUCUCCUGGAGCGAGGACUGCGGGAGGCGGCCGCAUCAUCACCUGUAUCCGCGCUCAACACCGUGCCACGCACUAAUGGCGGAAGCCCGACUUUCUCCGAUGGAGGAGAGAAGCUGGACGCUGGCUGCCAGGCUGCUGGGGAGGGCGCUGGGUCUGCCAUCAGGGGACCCCCUGCACGCGACCGCCGAGGCCUCGGCACCGGCGCGCCUGCCUUCGGUCCGAGGCUGGAGAUUGCGAGGCCGCCAGGCCUGGGCGAGAGCGAGAAUCCCACCGUGGCAACAGACGGCUGGCGUCACCUUCCGGUUGGACGUGUGCCCGAUCCGGGCUGGGGCCACGGCGGCGGAAAGGGAAAGCGUGGCUACGCUGCACCUCGCGUUCCUGCCCCUGUGUGCUGUCCGGCUUUGGACGGACGGAUCUGUGGAGGGCGGAGUCUUCAGGCGCUGGGCGGGAGCCGUGCUGGUCUGGCUGGACGAAGAGGUCGAGGAACUGCGGGCCCCGGCCGGAGAGUUGUGCUAUAGCUACCGCGCGGAGAUGGUGGCGCCGGUGACCGGUCCGGAGACCGUACUCGGAAGAGACAGAGACCAGGACCUGCGGUCUCCGGUCCGUACCUAUCUGCUAACUGUGCGGUAGUGCUGGUGUAGUGCAACAUUUUUGGAUGGCUAGCUACAUUUCACGAUUAAAUAGCUGGUACGUUUCAGUGCAGGUGGCGUGACGAACAAUGUGUCUGUUGGCCACUUCUGCGGAAGCUGCCAUUUCCUACUCGAAAGCGGGCGCGCUGUUUGGCUGGGCCGGCAGGAUGUUCCCACUUCCCAUGUGUCGACGGCAAAGCGAGUAUAUUCAUGUUCUUUUAAUGCACAGAAGUCUGUUGUAUAUUUGAAGUUUUAUUUUAGGUUGACGAUUGCGAAGGGCAGAUUCAUCUUCUCUCUUUCAUUUGUGUUGCCACUUUAGCGUUCAUGUUUGUCAUAAGUGUCCUGGUCCGGCUUGGUUGUCAUCUUUAUUCGUGAUGUAUUUUAUUUUACGAACAUGCUGGUGAUCAAUGCAAUACACUUGAUUAAUAA